RNAcentral lists this ribosomal RNA (492 nucleotides) under uncultured bacterium. RNAcentral describes it as "bacterial SSU rRNA". It matches the Rfam family "Bacterial small subunit ribosomal RNA", at positions 29 to 494 of the family's 1533-position model. The record is from RNAcentral.
AACUAACGCUGGCGGCGUGCCUAACACAUGCAAGUCGUACGAGAAAGUUGGCUUCGGCCGAUGAGUAAAGUGGCGCACGGGUGAGUAAUGCGUGGAUAAUCUACCCUUUAGUCCGGAAUAACUUGCCGAAAGGUGAACUAAUACCGGAUGACAUCCCGGGUUCUCCGGAAACCGGGAUCAAAGAAGGCCUCUGCUUGCAAGCUUUUGCUGAAGGAUGAGUCCGCGUACCAUUAGCUGGUUGGUGGGGUAAUGGCCUACCAAGGCUACGAUGGUUAGCUGGUCUGAGAGGAUGAUCAGCCACACUGGAACUGAGACACGGUCCAGACUCCUACGGGAGGCAGCAGUGAGGAAUAUUGCGCAAUGGGGGCAACCCUGACGCAGCAACGCCGCGUGAACGAUGAAUCCCUUCGGGUGUAAAGUUCUUUUAUAUGUGAGCAGUGCUUCUUAUAUUAACAGUAUGGGGAGAGAGAUAUUAGCAUAUGAAUAAGCAAC